Molecule: long non-coding RNA, 1225 nt
Organism: Oryzias melastigma (Indian medaka)
Lineage: Eukaryota; Metazoa; Chordata; Actinopteri; Beloniformes; Adrianichthyidae
Exons: 2
Source: RefSeq, a predicted model, not a curated record
AAAAAAAAAAAUUAAGGUUUUCUUCUUUUUUUGGUUAUUUUUCAGGCAAAAUGUAAGAAACAUACAUGAGUUGGGACAGUAUGGCAGGGAAGCAACCUACAGGCCUGAAACAUCAAAGCCAUACAACAAAGAGGAAGAUCCAUCUUUUUCUUCUCGGGGUUUAAAUGGUCAGUAGCACCAAGGUGAAGGUGCAUUACCGCCACCUAGUGUGUAGGAGUGUGAGUUCAAGUAACUUUGUAACUGGACAGAAAAAUAAAAAUCUCUUUAACAUUCCAGUUUGUCUCAAAAAACCAAUCACGUCUCCAUUAAAACUCCCAACAGCCCCCUCAGACUUAACCCUUCUCCCUCUGGUAGCUUCAGUCUACCCUCUAGUGCCCAUCUUUCUGAAGCAUCCGCCAUGAAAAGAGGUCCUCUUUUAUAGGGGGUUAGCCCCACCCCUUCACCAAACCAACCCAAUUACUGAUCAGAAUCAAACACGUAUCAUAAGAAACAAAAAAAAAAUCACAUGCAUUUUACUAAUAACGAAUUCAAACAUAAAUAAACAAAAAUAUUGCUUCAAUUUAACAACAAUUUAUGGAAACUAAAUUAGAUGGGUCCACUGAACUUGCUGGAAAAGUCAAGUGAAAACCAAAAACUAAGUAAAGUGAAAUGCAAUAGAUGUUACUGCUGAACAGUGUGUGCAGCCAACGAUGCAAUCAAAAUCAAAUCCAUUUUAUUAAGCUGUCACAUAGUGACAGACAUCUGGUCUGUCACACCACUUUUGUGUAUAAUUGUUUUUUUUAAGUCUAAAAACUAUAAAGGUCAAUAAAAAUAACACAUGCUCACAAUUAUUUAUUGUUUCAUGACCAAAAGCUUAUGAAAAAAAAAUCUAAGCACUCAGGUGAGGGCCAUCUUUACUGGGUUGCAUACCGCAUUUUUAGCACUAUAAAUCACUCCAGAGUUUAGGUCGCAGCAGAAAAAGAAAUUGCACAAUAAAGAAAAAAAGAAUUUAAAAUCACUGGAGUAUAAAUUGUACUUAUGGGAGAUUUUUUUUUUUUUUACAAAAUACAGUAACAAUAACAGACAGUCCGGAUUAAGAUUGAGCGGCACUUCCUCUGUGUUGCUGUCAGUAGUAAAUAUUGAAUUCAAGUGAAGGGCCUUCUUUUGUUAUUUAUUUUUUAACAAAAUCAAAUUUAAGUCGCACCUGAGUUAAAAUCUCACCCUUGCCAAACUGUGCAAAAAAAAA